GCCUACGGGGGGCAGCAGUGAGGAAUAUUGGUCAAUGGGCGCGAGCCUGAACCAGCCAAGUCGCGUGAGGGAAGACGGUCCUAUGGAUUGUAAACCUCUUUUGUCGGGGAGCAAAAAGGCCUCGUGAGGUCACAAGUGAGAGUACCCGAAGAAAAAGCAUCGGCUAACUCCGUGCCAGCAGCCGCGGUAAUACGGAGGAUGCGAGCGUUAUCCGGAUUUAUUGGGUUUAAAGGGUGCGUAGGCGGAUUUUUAAGUCAGCGGUAAAAUGUCCGGGCUCAACCCGGGCCGGCCGUUGAAACUGGGGA
Molecule: ribosomal RNA, 305 nt
Filed under: uncultured bacterium
Lineage: Bacteria
Description: bacterial SSU rRNA
Rfam family: Bacterial small subunit ribosomal RNA
Source: RNAcentral